GACGAACGCUGGCGGCGUGCUUAACACAUGCAAGUCGAACGGAAAGGCCCUGCUUUUGUUGGGUGCUCGAUUGGCGAACGGGUGAGUAACACGUGAGUAACCUGCCCUUGACUUUCGGAUAACUUCAGGAAACUGGGGCUAAUACCGGAUAGGAGCUCCUGCUGCAUGUUGUGGGUUGGAAAGUUUCGGCGGUUGGGGCUGGACUCGCGGCUUAUCAGCUUGUUUGUGUGGUAGUUGCUUACCAAGGCUUUGACGGGUAGCCGGCCUGAGAGGGUGACCGGCCACAAGGGGACUAAGAUACGGCGCAGAAGCCUACGGGAGGCAGCAGUGGGGAAUAUUGCACAAUGGGCGGAAGCCUGAUGCAGAAACGCCGCGUGCGGGAUGACGGCCUUCGGGGUGUAAACCGCUUUCGACUGAGACGAAGAGGGAGUGACGGUAAUGGGUAAAGAAGCACCGGCUAACUACGUG
RNAcentral lists this ribosomal RNA (468 nucleotides) under uncultured bacterium. Its description in RNAcentral is "partial 16S ribosomal RNA". It matches the Rfam family "Bacterial small subunit ribosomal RNA", at positions 28 to 507 of the family's 1533-position model. The record is from RNAcentral.